RNAcentral lists this long non-coding RNA (233 nucleotides) under Elaeis guineensis (African oil palm). Its description in RNAcentral is "long non-coding RNA (EGUI_LNC056170)". Lineage: Eukaryota; Viridiplantae; Streptophyta; Magnoliopsida; Arecales; Arecaceae. The record is from RNAcentral.
UGUGUCGGUCUAUCCAAAUCGAUCACAUCCUCAUGAUGAUACUAUGAUCGAAAGCAGUUAAAAAUUAUAUGCAUAUCUCUAAUUCUCAACACUUUGAGAAUAUGUAUCGAAAUAUUAAUUUUAUGGAUGUUUUAAAGACACAUCAUACUUGAAUAAAAAUUAAACUUGCCCUUUUAUUGAUCAAAUCAAUGUAUUAAGUAUAAAAUUAUAUUUUAACUAUAUCAUAAUGUGUC